GUUGGUUUUACAUAAUGAUAAAAAAUGAAUAUUACUAAUGUAACCCACUGUAAAGACUGGGUUUAGUUGAUUGUGUUGCACUGCUCAUGUCCGCGUUCUGGAACUGUCCGCGUCCCCGUACAGAACUGUCCGCGUCCCCGUACAGAACUGUCCGCGUACAAAACUGUCCGCGUCCCCGUACGGUGUGGCGCCAAGCCGGUUACGCGCAGAGUGGAUUGAGGUGAUCUUGGGGAAUAACGGCGGAGUUUGUUACAGUGUUGAGACACCGAAGUUUACUGUUCAAUUUGCUUUUUUCUUUACGGUCAGGGACAGUAUGAGUGUAGUCAGAUCCUUUUCACUCUCUAUCCUUGUUUCAAUUUGUGUUUCACCGGAUUCGUCAUCGAAACGAGGGACAGACGAACGACCUGCUAACUAACCAAGCUAGUCGGUACAGCUCGUCCAAUCAAGCAGGAGAGACCAGCCUCCACUGUUCCCAGCUGUGUGUCCAUGAAGAGUGACCGGUCUAUGGAUCUACCUAUAUUCUUUAGAGAGGGAGACUUUUCUACUGAACAAAGAAACCAACAGGGGAGAUCAGAGUCAGAGAUUCUCAGUGGUCAGUCUUCCCAGAGUCAUCAAACAGACCUGGCCUCCAUAUUCAGUAUGCUUGAAGAGAAAAUUAUGACAUUUGUGAAGAACGAGAUGAAGAUGUUCAAGAGGA
This is a non-coding RNA of Oncorhynchus mykiss (rainbow trout), 697 nucleotides long. Lineage: Eukaryota; Metazoa; Chordata; Actinopteri; Salmoniformes; Salmonidae. The record is from RefSeq and is a predicted model, not a curated record.